Molecule: transfer RNA, 70 nt
Filed under: Chloroflexota bacterium
Lineage: Bacteria; Bacillati; Chloroflexota
Description: Chloroflexi bacterium tRNA-OTHER
Source: RNAcentral
GUGGGUGUGUUGGUCAACGGGGGUCCUGAUAAGCCUAUCCGUCCGGGUUCAAAUCCCGGCACCUACACCA